AACGAACGCUGGCGGCAUGCCUAACACAUGCAAGUCGAACGAGACCUUCGGGUCUAGUGGCGCACGGGUGCGUAACGCGUGGGAACCUGCCUUUAGGUUCGGAAUAACUCAGAGAAAUUUGAGCUAAUACCGGAUGAUGUCUUCGGACCAAAGAUUUAUCGCCUUUAGAUGGGCCCGCGUUGGAUUAGCUAGUUGGUGGGGUAAAGGCCUACCAAGGCGACGAUCCAUAGCUGGUCUGAGAGGAUGAUCAGCCACACUGGGAAUGAGACACGGCCCAGACUCCUACGGGAGGCAGCAGUGGGGAAUAUUGGACAAGGGGCGAAAGCCUGAUCCAGCAAUGCCGCGGGAGUGAUGAAGGCCUUAGGGUUGUAAAGCUCUUUUACCCGAGAUGAUAAUGACAGUAUCGGGAGAAUAAGCUCCGGCUAACUCCGUG
This 433-nucleotide ribosomal RNA is filed under the name uncultured bacterium. RNAcentral describes it as "partial 16S ribosomal RNA". It matches the Rfam family "Bacterial small subunit ribosomal RNA", at positions 29 to 507 of the family's 1533-position model. The record is from RNAcentral.